AGCAGAGUGGCGCAGCGGAAGCGUG
RNAcentral lists this non-coding RNA (25 nucleotides) under Drosophila virilis. RNAcentral also lists the same sequence under 7 other names. The record is from RNAcentral. Lineage: Eukaryota; Metazoa; Arthropoda; Insecta; Diptera; Drosophilidae.